RNAcentral lists this ribosomal RNA (252 nucleotides) under uncultured bacterium. RNAcentral describes it as "partial 16S ribosomal RNA". It matches the Rfam family "Bacterial small subunit ribosomal RNA", at positions 524 to 776 of the family's 1533-position model. The record is from RNAcentral.
UACGUAGGGUGCAAGCGUUGUCCGGAAUUAUUGGGCGUAAGAGCUCGUAGGCGGUCUGUUACGUCGGCUGUGAAAACCUGGGGCUCAACCCCGGGCCUGCAGCCGAUACGGGCAGACUAGAAUUCGGUAGGGGAGACUGGAAUUCCUGGUGUAGCGGUGAAAUGCGCAGAUAUCAGGAGGAACACCGGUGGCGAAGGCGGGUCUCUGGGCCGAUAUUGACGCUGAGGAGCGAAAGCGUGGGGAGCGAACAGG